RNAcentral lists this transfer RNA (76 nucleotides) under Desulfovibrio desulfuricans. RNAcentral describes it as "tRNA-Val". It matches the Rfam family "tRNA". From Rfam's summary of the family: Transfer RNA (tRNA) molecules are approximately 80 nucleotides in length. The record is from RNAcentral. RNAcentral also lists the same sequence under 3 other names. Lineage: Bacteria; Pseudomonadati; Thermodesulfobacteriota; Desulfovibrionia; Desulfovibrionales; Desulfovibrionaceae.
GGGCAGUUAGCUCAGCUGGUAGAGCAUCGCCUUCACACGGCGGGGGUCACAGGUUCAAGUCCUGUACUGCCCACCA